AGCUUUGGUUUUCUCUUUUAAGGAGAGAUCAAACAAGAGGAUGGCAGAGAUGGACCUGGCAGAUGCUGUGGCCCGUUCUGGCUGAAGCUGCCGCUGAGCAGAGAGCCUGGCUUUGCAGAGGGGACCUGGAGGGGCCUCUCCCUCCCCGUACAGGUGGGGUACCAGAGGGUCAAGGCCUGCUAGAGAAACGGGCCCUUCAGUUCCUUUCAGAAUGGGGGGCGGCUUCCUCUCUCAGACGCCAACUUUGGAGGCUCCAAACAAUCUUCUAAUUUGAUCAAGGAGAGAGAAGCAAUCCCAACUGCUCCUUUCUGAAGGGCUGUCUUUCCCUGCGAUGGGUCCCAGGGGAUUUCCCACCCUCUGAACUGGAUUUGGGUUGAUGGGCAGAUGA
Molecule: non-coding RNA, 388 nt
Organism: Kogia breviceps (pygmy sperm whale)
Lineage: Eukaryota; Metazoa; Chordata; Mammalia; Artiodactyla; Physeteridae
Source: RefSeq, a predicted model, not a curated record